RNAcentral lists this ribosomal RNA (879 nucleotides) under Helotiales sp. RNAcentral's name for it is "SSU rRNA". It matches the Rfam family "Eukaryotic small subunit ribosomal RNA", at positions 57 to 945 of the family's 1831-position model. Lineage: Eukaryota; Fungi; Ascomycota; Leotiomycetes; Helotiales. The record is from RNAcentral.
UCCUAAGUAUAAGCAAUCUAUACGGUGAAACUGCGAAUGGCUCAUUAAAUCAGUUAUCGUUUAUUUGAUAGUACCUUACUACUUGGAUAACCGUGGUAAUUCUAGAGCUAAUACAUGCUAAAAACCUCGACUUCGGAAGGGGUGUAUUUAUUAGAUAAAAAACCAAUGCCCUUCGGGGCUCCUUGGUGAUUCAUAAUAACUUAACGAAUCGCAUGGCCUUGUGCCGGCGAUGGUUCAUUCAAAUUUCUGCCCUAUCAACUUUCGAUGGUAGGAUAGUGGCCUACCAUGGUUUCAACGGGUAACGGGGAAUUAGGGUUCUAUUCCGGAGAGGGAGCCUGAGAAACGGCUACCACAUCCAAGGAAGGCAGCAGGCGCGCAAAUUACCCAAUCCCGACACGGGGAGGUAGUGACAAUAAAUACUGAUACAGGGCUCUUUUGGGUCUUGUAAUUGGAAUGAGUACAAUUUAAAUCCCUUAACGAGGAACAAUUGGAGGGCAAGUCUGGUGCCAGCAGCCGCGGUAAUUCCAGCUCCAAUAGCGUAUAUUAAAGUUGUUGCAGUUAAAAAGCUCGUAGUUGAACCUUGGGCCUGGUUGGUCGGUCCGCCUCACCGCGUGCACUGAUCCGACCGGGUCUUUCCUUCUGGGGAGCCGCAUGCCCUUCACUGGGUGUGUCGGGGAACCAGGACUUUUACUUUGAAAAAAUUAGAGUGUUCAAAGCAGGCCUAUGCUCGAAUACAUUAGCAUGGAAUAAUAGAAUAGGACGUGUGGUUCUAUUUUGUUGGUUUCUAGGACCGCCGUAAUGAUUAAUAGGGAUAGUCGGGGGCAUCAGUAUUCCGUUGUCAGAGGUGAAAUUCUUGGAUUUACGGAAGACUAACUACUG